AUUGAACGCUGGCGGCAGGCCUAACACAUGCAAGUCGAGCGAGCGGCGGACGUGUGAGUAAUGUAUCGGGCUCUGCCCGCUGGAGGGGGUUAACUACUGGAAACGGUUGCCACUACCGCAUACUAUCGGAUGACCCCAUUUGGGAUUAGCUAGUAGGUGGGGUAAAGGCUCACCUAGGCGACGAUCUCUAGCUGGUCUGAGAGGAUGAUCAGCCACACUGGGACUGAGACACGGCCCAGACUCCUACGGGAGGCAGCAGUGGGGAAUAUUGCACAAUGGGCGCAAGCCUGAUGCAGCCAUGCCGCGUGUAUGAAGAAGGCCUUAGGGUUGUAAAGUACUUUAAGCGGGGAGGCGUUACCCACAGAAGAAGCACCGGCUAACUCCGUGCCAGCAGCCGCGGUAAUUC
This 406-nucleotide ribosomal RNA is filed under the name uncultured bacterium. Its description in RNAcentral is "partial 16S ribosomal RNA". It matches the Rfam family "Bacterial small subunit ribosomal RNA", at positions 30 to 526 of the family's 1533-position model. The record is from RNAcentral.